This 868-nucleotide ribosomal RNA is filed under the name uncultured bacterium. RNAcentral describes it as "bacterial SSU rRNA". It matches the Rfam family "Bacterial small subunit ribosomal RNA", at positions 579 to 1447 of the family's 1533-position model. The record is from RNAcentral.
UUAGAUAAGUCUGAAGUUAAAGGCUGUGGCUUAACCAUAGUACGCUUUGGAAACUGUUUAACUUGANUGCAGAAGGGGAGAGUGGAAUUCCAUGUGUAGCGGUGAAAUGCGUAGAUAUAUGGAGGAACACCGGUGGCGUAAGCGGCUCUCUGGUCUGUAACUGACGCUGAGGCUCGAAAGCGUGGGGAGCGAACAGGAUUAGAUACCCUGGUAGUCCACGCCGUAAACGAUGAGUGCUAGGUGUUAGGCCCUUUCCGGGGCUUAGUGCCGCAGCUAACGCAUUAAGCACUCCGCCUGGGGAGUACGACCGCAAGGUUGAAACUCAAAGGAAUUGACGGGGGCCCGCACAGGCGGUGGAGCAUGUGGUUUAAUUCGAAGCAACGCGAAGAACCUUACCAGGUCUUGACAUCCCGAUGCCCGCUCUAGAGAUAGAGUUUUACUUCGGUACAUCGGUGACAGGUGGUGCAUGGUUGUCGUCAGCUCGUGUCGUGAGAUGUUGGGUUAAGUCCCGCAACGAGCGCAACCCUUAUUGUUAGUUGCCAUCAUUCAGUUGGGCACUCUAGCGAGACUGCCGGUAAUAAACCGGAGGAAGGUGGGGAUGACGUCAAAUCAUCAUGCCCCUUAUGACCUGGGCUACACACGUGCUACAAUGGCUGGUACAACGAGUCUCAAGUCGGUGACGGCAAGCUAAUCUCUUAAAGCCAGUCUCAGUUCGGAUUGUAGGCUGCAACUCGCCUACAUGAAGUCGGAAUCGCUAGUAAUCGCGGAUCAGCACGCCGCGGUGAAUACGUUCCCGGGCCUUGUACACACCGCCCGUCACACCACGAGAGUUUGUAACACCCGAAGUCGGUGAGGUANCCUUUUAGGA